UUAAGCGACUAAGCGUACACGGUGGAUGCCCUGGCAGUCAGAGGCGAUGAAGGACGUGCUAAUCUGCGAUAAGCGUCGGUAAGGUGAUAUGAACCGUUAUAACCGGCGAUUUCCGAAUGGGGAAACCCAGUGUGUUUCGACACACUAUCAUUAACUGAAUCCAUAGGUUAAUGAGGCGAACCGGGGGAACUGAAACAUCUAAGUACCCCGAGGAAAAGAAAUCAACCGAGAUUCCCCCAGUAGCGGCGAGCGAACGGGGAGGAGCCCAGAGCCUGAAUCAGUGUGUGUGUUAGUGGAAGCGUCUGGAAAGGCGCGCGAUACAGGGUGACAGCCCCGUACACAAAAAUGCACAUGCUGUGAGCUCGAUGAGUAGGGCGGGACACGUGGUAUCCUGUCUGAAUAUGGGGGGACCAUCCUCCAAGGCUAAAUACUCCUGACUGACCGAUAGUGAACCAGUACCGUGAGGGAAAGGCGAAAAGAACCCCGGCGAGGGGAGUGAAAAAGAACCUGAAACCGUGUACGUACAAGCAGUGGGAGCACAGAGCAAUCUGUGUGACUGCGUACCUUUUGUAUAAUGGGUCAGCGACUUAUAUUCUGUAGCAAGGUUAACCGAAUAGGGGAGCCGAAGGGAAACCGAGUCUUAACUGGGCGUUAAGUUGCAGGGUAUAGACCCGAAACCCGGUGAUCUAGCCAUGGGCAGGUUGAAGGUUGGGUAACACUAACUGGAGGACCGAACCGACUAAUGUUGAAAAAUUAGCGGAUGACUUGUGGCUGGGGGUGAAAGGCCAAUCAAACCGGGAGAUAGCUGGUUCUCCCCGAAAGCUAUUUAGGUAGCGCCUCGUGAAUUCAUCUCCGGAGGUAGAGCACUGUUUCGGCAAGGGGGUCAUCCCGACUUACCAACCCGAUGCAAACUGCGAAUACCGGAGAAUGUUAUCACGGGAGACACACGGCGGGUGCUAACGUCCGUCGUGAAGAGGGAAACAACCCAGACCGCCAGCUAAGGUCCCAAAGUCAUGGUUAAGUGGGAAACGAUGUGGGAAGGCCCAGACAGCCAGGAUGUUGGCUUAGAAGCAGCCAUCAUUUAAAGAAAGCGUAAUAGCUCACUGGUCGAGUCGGCCUGCGCGGAAGAUGUAACGGGGCUAAACCAUGCACCGAAGCUGCGGCAGCGACACUGUGUGUUGUUGGGUAGGGGAGCGUUCUGUAAGCCUGUGAAGGUGUGCUGUGAGGCAUGCUGGAGGUAUCAGAAGUGCGAAUGCUGACAUAAGUAACGAUAAAGCGGGUGAAAAGCCCGCUCGCCGGAAGACCAAGGGUUCCUGUCCAACGUUAAUCGGGGCAGGGUGAGUCGACCCCUAAGGCGAGGCCGAAAGGCGUAGUCGAUGGGAAACAGGUUAAUAUUCCUGUACUUGGUGUUACUGCGAAGGGGGACGGAGAAGGCUAUGUUGGCCGGGCGACGGUUGUCCCGGUUUAAGCGUGUAGGCUGGUUUUCCAGGCAAAUCCGGAAAAUCAAGGCUGAGGCGUGAUGACGAGGCACUACGGUGCUGAAGCAACAAAUGCCCUGCUUCCAGGAAAAGCCUCUAAGCAUCAGGUAACAUCAAAUCGUACCCCAAACCGACACAGGUGGUCAGGUAGAGAAUACCAAGGCGCUUGAGAGAACUCGGGUGAAGGAACUAGGCAAAAUGGUGCCGUAACUUCGGGAGAAGGCACGCUGAUAUGUAGGUGAAGUCCCUCGCGGAUGGAGCUGAAAUCAGUCGAAGAUACCAGCUGGCUGCAACUGUUUAUUAAAAACACAGCACUGUGCAAACACGAAAGUGGACGUAUACGGUGUGACGCCUGCCCGGUGCCGGAAGGUUAAUUGAUGGGGUCAGCGCAAGCGAAGCUCUUGAUCGAAGCCCCGGUAAACGGCGGCCGUAACUAUAACGGUCCUAAGGUAGCGAAAUUCCUUGUCGGGUAAGUUCCGACCUGCACGAAUGGCGUAAUGAUGGCCAGGCUGUCUCCACCCGAGACUCAGUGAAAUUGAACUCGCUGUGAAGAUGCAGUGUACCCGCGGCAAGACGGAAAGACCCCGUGAACCUUUACUAUAGCUUGACACUGAACAUUGAGCCUUGAUGUGUAGGAUAGGUGGGAGGCUUUGAAGUGUGGACGCCAGUCUGCAUGGAGCCGACCUUGAAAUACCACCCUUUAAUGUUUGAUGUUCUAACGUGGACCCGUGAUCCGGGUUGCGGACAGUGUCUGGUGGGUAGUUUGACUGGGGCGGUCUCCUCCUAAAGAGUAACGGAGGAGCACGAAGGUUGGCUAAUCCUGGUCGGACAUCAGGAGGUUAGUGCAAUGGCAUAAGCCAGCUUGACUGCGAGCGUGACGGCGCGAGCAGGUGCGAAAGCAGGUCAUAGUGAUCCGGUGGUUCUGAAUGGAAGGGCCAUCGCUCAACGGAUAAAAGGUACUCCGGGGAUAACAGGCUGAUACCGCCCAAGAGUUCAUAUCGACGGCGGUGUUUGGCACCUCGAUGUCGGCUCAUCACAUCCUGGGGCUGAAGUAGGUCCCAAGGGUAUGGCUGUUCGCCAUUUAAAGUGGUACGCGAGCUGGGUUUAGAACGUCGUGAGACAGUUCGGUCCCUAUCUGCCGUGGGCGCUGGAGAACUGAGGGGGGCUGCUCCUAGUACGAGAGGACCGGAGUGGACGCAUCACUGGUGUUCGGGUUGUCAUGCCAAUGGCACUGCCCGGUAGCUAAAUGCGGAAGAGAUAAGUGCUGAAAGCAUCUAAGCACGAAACUUGCCCCGAGAUGAGUUCUCCCUGACCCUUUAAGGGUCCUGAAGGAACGUUGAAGACGACGACGUUGAUAGGCCGGGUGUGUAAGCGCAGCGAUGCGUUGAGCUAACCGGUACUAAUGAACCGUGAGGCUUAACCUU
RNAcentral lists this ribosomal RNA (2902 nucleotides) under Escherichia coli B26-1. RNAcentral's name for it is "bacterial LSU rRNA". It matches the Rfam family "Bacterial large subunit ribosomal RNA". The record is from RNAcentral. Lineage: Bacteria; Pseudomonadati; Pseudomonadota; Gammaproteobacteria; Enterobacterales; Enterobacteriaceae.